RNAcentral lists this ribosomal RNA (440 nucleotides) under uncultured bacterium. RNAcentral's name for it is "partial 16S ribosomal RNA". It matches the Rfam family "Bacterial small subunit ribosomal RNA", at positions 338 to 795 of the family's 1533-position model. The record is from RNAcentral.
GCUACGGGUGGCAGCAGUGGGGGAUAUUGCACAAUGGGGGGAACCCUGAUGCAGCGACGCCGCGUGGGUGAAGAAGCGCCUCGGCGCGUAAAGCCCUGUCAGCAGGGAAGAAAAUGACGGUACCUGAAGAAGAAGCCCCGGCGAACUACGUGCCAGCAGCCGCGGUAAUACGUAGGGGGCAGGCGUUAUCCGGAUUUAUGGGGUGUAAAGGGGGCGCAGACGGGGAUGCAAGCCAGGAGGGAAAGCCCGGGGCCCAACCCCGGGACUGCGCUUGGAACUGGGUGGCGGGAGGGCAGGAGGGGCAGGCGGAAGCCCUGGGGUAGCGGUGAAAUGCGGAGAGAUCGGGAGGAACACCGGGGGGGAAGGCGGCCUGCUGGACUGCAACUGACGUGGAGGCCCGAAAGCGUGGGGAGCAAACAGGAUGAGAUACCCCAGUAGUC